UACCCAUUGCAUAUCGGAGUUGUAAAUUCUCAAAACACCUCCUGUGUGCAUGGAUUGCA
This is a microRNA precursor of Oryctolagus cuniculus (rabbit), 59 nucleotides long. NCBI's taxonomy places the organism in Eukaryota, Metazoa, Chordata, Mammalia, Lagomorpha, Leporidae. The record is from Ensembl.